Small nucleolar RNA from Peromyscus maniculatus bairdii (prairie deer mouse), 85 nucleotides. Ensembl annotates it as small nucleolar RNA, C/D box 87. Its record names the gene Snord87. NCBI's taxonomy places the organism in Eukaryota, Metazoa, Chordata, Mammalia, Rodentia, Cricetidae. The record is from Ensembl.
GCUGGCACAAUGAUGACUUCAGUUUUUGCCGUUUACCCAGCUGAGGGCUUCUUUGAAGAAGUAAUCUAAACACUGAGAUGCCAGC